GGAUGUGAGGGCGAUCUGGCUGCCACGUCUGUCACCCCACUGAUAGCCAGGGUUGAUUCGUCUGAUCUAGGCCGUAUCCCUUCCUCCGUCACUGCUCCACGUGCAUCCCUCCGGAGACCUGCGCGCUCUGCGGAAGAGGACGACCACCCGCGGCAGAGGAGGACCGGUCUGCGCUCACGGGUUCCCAGUAGCUGCGCUCCCCUGAUGGAACCUCCAAACCAGCUCUCAGGAGUCCGCAACACAGAGAAGGUAAGACACGUU
Molecule: small nuclear RNA, 261 nt
Filed under: Aotus nancymaae (Ma's night monkey)
Lineage: Eukaryota; Metazoa; Chordata; Mammalia; Primates; Aotidae
Description: 7SK RNA (ENSANAG00000003070.1)
Rfam family: 7SK RNA
About the family: 7SK was discovered as an abundant small nuclear RNA in the mid-70s but a possible function has only recently been suggested. Two independent studies have found that 7SK RNA binds the CDK9/cyclin T complex (known as elongation factor P-TEFb). P-TEFb activates transcription by phosphorylating the C-terminal domain of RNA polymerase II.
Source: RNAcentral